Molecule: ribosomal RNA, 504 nt
Filed under: Escherichia sp.
Lineage: Bacteria; Pseudomonadati; Pseudomonadota; Gammaproteobacteria; Enterobacterales; Enterobacteriaceae
Description: bacterial SSU rRNA
Rfam family: Bacterial small subunit ribosomal RNA
Source: RNAcentral
GGUGGGGUAACGGCUCACCUAGGCGACGAUCCCUAGCUGGUCUGAGAGGAUGACCAGCCACACUGGAACUGAGACACGGUCCAGACUCCUACGGGAGGCAGCAGUGGGGAAUAUUGCACAAUGGGCGCAAGCCUGAUGCAGCCAUGCCGCGUGUAUGAAGAAGGCCUUCGGGUUGUAAAGUACUUUCAGCGGGGAGGAAGGGAGUAAAGUUAAUACCUUUGCUCAUUGACGUUACCCGCAGAAGAAGCACCGGCUAACUCCGUGCCAGCAGCCGCGGUAAUACGGAGGGUGCAAGCGUUAAUCGGAAUUACUGGGCGUAAAGCGCACGCAGGCGGUUUGUUAAGUCAGAUGUGAAAUCCCCGGGCUCAACCUGGGAACUGCAUCUGAUACUGGCAAGCUUGAGUCUCGUAGAGGGGGGUAGAAUUCCAGGUGUAGCGGUGAAAUGCGUAGAGAUCUGGAGGAAUACCCGGUGGCGAAGGCGGCCCCCUGACGAAGACUACGCUC